This 370-nucleotide ribosomal RNA is filed under the name uncultured Tylospora. RNAcentral's name for it is "eukaryotic LSU rRNA". It matches the Rfam family "Eukaryotic large subunit ribosomal RNA", at positions 1 to 366 of the family's 3401-position model. Lineage: Eukaryota; Fungi; Basidiomycota; Agaricomycetes; Atheliales; Atheliaceae. The record is from RNAcentral.
UUGACCUCAAAUCAGGUAGGACUACCCGCUGAACUUAAGCAUAUCAAUAAGCGGAGGAAAAGAAACUAACAAGGAUUCCCCUAGUAACUGCGAGUGAAGCGGGAAGAGCUCAAAUUUAAAAUCUGGUGGUCCUCGCGGCCGUCCGAGUUGUAAUCUGGAGAAGUGUUUUCCGCGUCGGACCGUGUACAAGUCUUCUGGAAUGGAGCGUCGUAGAGGGUGAGAAUCCCGUCUCUGACACGGACCGCCGAUGCUUUUGUGAUACGCUCUCGAGUCGAGUUGUUUGGGAUGCAGCUCAAACGGGUGGUAAAUUCCAUCUAAAGCUAAUAUUGGCGAGAGACCGAUAGCGAACAAGUACCGUGAGGGAAAGAUG